AGCUAAUACUUGCUUUAGCACUCUUGAUUAAGUUCUUGAGUGUGUACUUGUUAAGCCUUUUAAGAAAAAAGUUAUUAACUUAAGGAAUUAUAACAAAGAAGCAACACGUAAAUGGAUUUUCCAUUUUUUAGUGUGUAUCAAUCGAGUUUCUGACCUAUCAGCUUUUGAUGUUAGGGUAUUGGCCUAACAUGGCUAUGACGGGUAACGGGGAAUUAGAGUUCGAUUCCGGAGAGGGAGCCUGAGAAAUAGCUACCACAUCUAAGGAAGGCAGCAGGCGCGUAAAUUACCCAAUUCUAAAGAAGAGAGGUAGUGACAAGAAAUAACAAUACAAGGCCAAUCUGGCUUUGUAAUUGGAAUGAUGGGAAUUUAAAACCUUCCCAAAACUCAAUUGGAGGGCAAGUCUGGUGCCAGCAGCCGCGGUAAUUCCAGCUCCAAUAGCGUAUAUUAAAAUUGUUGCAGUUAAAACGCUCGUAGUUGAAUUUCAAAGAAUCGAUAUUUUAAGUAGCACUUUGUAGAUUAAUCCACAUAACUGAUACUACGUAUCGACUUUGUGCGCAUUUUUCUACUUAUGUGUUCUUUUAAUUAAAAUGAUUCUUUUUAAGAUCUUUCUUUUUUGCUUCGGCAUUUUAGGAGAUCUUGUUACUUUGAGUAAAUUAGAGUGUUCAAAGCAAACAGAUUAUAGCAUCUUUAUGCGUUUGAAUACUACAGCAUGGAAUAACAAAAUUGAACAAGUCAGAAUUUUGUUCUUUUUUUUUAUUUUGGCUUAGUUACGAUUAAUAGGAGUAGCUUGGGGGCAUUUGUAUUCAGAUGUCAGAGGUGAAAUUCUUAGAUUUUCUGGAGACAAACAACUGCGAAAGCAUUUGCCUAAAAUACUUCCAUUAAUCAAGAACGAAAGUUAAGGGAGUGAAGACGAUCAGAUACCGUCGUAAUCUUAACCAUAAACUAUGCCGACUAGGCUUUGGAUGAAAGAUUUUAAAAUAAGAGUUUUUUCUCU
Molecule: ribosomal RNA, 994 nt
Filed under: Plasmodium inui
Lineage: Eukaryota; Apicomplexa; Aconoidasida; Haemosporida; Plasmodiidae
Description: SSU rRNA
Rfam family: Eukaryotic small subunit ribosomal RNA
Source: RNAcentral